GCUGGUCUCAGACUCUUGGCCUUGAGCAGUCCUCCCGCCUUGGCCUCCCAAAGUUGUAGGAUUAGAGGUGUGAGCAGCCGUGCCUGUCUGGGUCUCAUCUUUUUAUGUCUUUUUAGAUCACUUUAACAAGGCAAAAAAAAUUCUGCAGGCCUAUCUUUCUCUCUCAUUAUUGGUACCCUCUCUUUUGCUUUUCCAAAUAAUUCACUACUCAUUGCUGUUGCCAAGUCACUCCCAGUGGCAUGGGUAGACAUAAUUGUAUUGGAGAAAUAUUUAUGUAAAAUAGACUCUCUGACUUGUUGCUUCAAAGAUGUGGUGGGCAUUAUCAAAAGGACAGUUAGUUGUACUGUGCGUGUGACAUAAUUUGUCUUUUUAGGAAAGAGAUUAUAAGGAAAGCACAACAAAACUUGAAAAACCAACUUUAUAAGAAAGUAGACUGAAUUGCUCACAAGUUAUUUGAAAUGAUACUUGUAGCUUGCCUCUCUACUACUGGAUGUUUAACCAAAAACAGUUAGCUAAAUUUUAUAUAUUGAUAACUCAAAGUCAGAGAAUUCCUUAAUGUUUUCAAAACAUUACCACUAAGUUCUGGCCAAGGUGAAAGAACAGGGAUUAAACUUACUCUCUCUUCAGAAGCAGCUAACAAGCUGAGCAAGACAUAUGUAACAACAGUUUUCAAGACAUUAGAUAUCAGACAGUGAAGGACAGUGAUCCCCGGGAGAUGGAAAACAAAUGAGGUGAACCUUGUGAUUAACCCAGCUUACUACCUUGGGAGAGUUUCCCAACCUUGUACAGAAAGGGGGACAUCAGGUGGAGCCUGCUGAUGUGUCUGAAUUGAGGAGACCAAACUGGAAGUCCACAGUGGCCAAGGUGGCAAUAGCGUACAAGAAAACAUACUGAAGAGGAGAGAGCUCACAUACAGAGAGAACUCUGGCAAUUUGCUAAGGGAUCCCUCUUGAAUCUUUAGCUGAUGUGAAUUCAGGAUGUGAAUGAAGAGGCUACCAGAGCUGGAAAAAGAAGUUGCCAAGAAGAUCACAGUCAACAAUCCUCAGAUCUGUACAUGACCCGGAGUAGUUCCUGUUCUCACCAGCCAACAUGGAAAACUUCAUAACUCACGAAGCACCAAGUAAGGCUAAUUGGAAGGCAUUUGCCUCAGUAGUGGCGUCAAAUUAGCCUUAGAAUAAAUUCUUCCCUGGUUCCUCCUAACAAAACUUAAAAGCAAGACCUGGAAGAAUCAAACUAAUUUUUAAGCAGUUUAACUACAACGAAGAGCAAAGGUCCAGGUUUGCAGGAAUACAAAAAUAUCCACCACCCAGCAGAUAAAAGUCACAUUAUUUACCAUGUAAUCAAAAGUUACCAAACAGGCAAAGAAGGAAAGUAAGACCCAUAAAGAAAAGAAAAUAUAAUCAUUCAAAACUGAUGCAGAAAUGAUUCAGAGAUAGUUAUAUAAGAACAUCAACAAUAAUUAUUAUAACUAUUUCAUAUGUUGAGGAAGCUUAGAGGAAAGAUUAAACAUGUUAGUACAGGAAUGAAACAUAUUUACACAUAUGAGAAAUCCAAAUCAGACUUCGAAAGUUUAAAGCUAUAGUGUCUGAAAUGAAAAAUAUGUUUUAUGGGAUUAAUGGCAGUAGAACUUGCAGAACUGUUUAGUGAACUUGAAGGCAUAGCAAUAGAAACUGCCCCAAAAAACCACAUGCAGAGAAAAUGUGAGCCAUGGGAUAACAUCAAGUGACCUAAUAUCUGAAUAAUUGGAGUUCUGAUGGGGCUGGUGGGAUGUAGAGAAAAAGUAUUUUAAGAAAUAUUGGGCAACAUUUUCCAAACUUGAUGAAGCUGUAAACCCACAGACUCAAGGUGUCCAGUGAAUCACAGGCAAAAUAAACAUGAAGAAAAUUACACCAAGGUGCAUCAAAGAAGCAGCCAUGCCAAAAAAACAAAACCAUUUUUGCGGAACAGCUAUACCAUUGGCUUUCCAUAUCCAUGGGUUCUACAUUCUUGGAUUCAACCAAUCAUGGACGGGAAAAAAAAAAAAAAACCUAAACACCAAAAAAAAAAUCAUACAACAAUAAAAAUAAUACAAAUAAUAAAUACCAUGUAACAUAUAGCAUUUGUAUUUCAUUAGGUAUAAGUAAUCUAGAGAUGAUUUAAGGUAUAUAGGAGUAUACACCUAUGUGCAUAGACUACAUAUAACUAUUAGGCAUUUAAUAUGAGGAACUUGAUUACCUGUGGAUUUUGGUAUCUGUGGAGGGACUGGAGGAGGGUCCUGGAACCAAUCUCCUGCAGAUGCUAAGAAACGACAGUACUGAUAGCUGAUUUCUCACUGGAAGUAACACAAAUCGUAGACAGUAUAACAGUGUCUUUAAAAUACAGGAAGGAAAAAAAAGUGUCACCCUAGAAUUCCGUACUUGGAAAAAUAUCCUGCAAAAAUGCAGUCAAAUUGAGUGCAUUUUUGCACUCAAAAACUGGUAAAAUUCGAACAAGGUCGUCAGUUUAGCUAAAAUUAUUGCACCAGUGUUUAUGGUUUUGAAAACGUACUAUGGUUAUGUAAGAUGUUACCUAUCAUGAAACGAGGUGAAAGGUAACAUUUCUUAUGAGUUUUACACUGUGUCAAAAGAUUUUUUUUUUGAAAAAAAGCAAAAAAAAGGGGCGGGGGUUGAGGGAGGACUUCAAUCCAGACUAUUUGGUGAAUUCUCACAACUUCGUAAUAGAAAAUUUCAAAACUCAAUAAAAGUAGUCAAAAAAUGUGAACACUUCAAAGAAGAUAUAAAAUGACAAAUAAGUUAUUUGUGAAAUGCUAAUUAAAACCACAAUGAGAUACCACUACACACCUAUUAGAAUGUCUAAAAUGAAAAAGACCAACCAAAGCAUGUAUUCCUGAGGACAUAGUGCAACUUGAUCUCUUAUACAGUGCUGGUGGACAUAAUAAAAUAAUACAACUAGGCUGGAGGAUUGCUUGAGCAGCUGUAGUGAGCAGUGAUCUUUCCAGUGCACUCCAGCCUGGGUGACAAAGCAAUAACCUGUCUCCAAAAAAAAAAAAAAAAAGUCACAACUACUUUGGAAAACAGUCUACUAACUUAAAAAUGUUACAUAUACGUACGUAUUACAUGCCCAAAUCAUUCACUGGUACGUUUUUAACCAAGAAUAACGAAACGUGUAUUUGUAUACAAAUGAAACAUGUAUUUGUGUACAAAGGCUUGUGUACAGAUCUUCACAGCAGCUUUGUUUGUAAUAGCCAAAACCUGGAAACAAUCUCAGUAUCUAAUGGAUGAAAGGAUAAACAAAUUGUAGUAUAUUGAUAAUGUUGAAUACUCGUAAGCAAUACAAAUGAAGUAUUGAUAGAUGAAGUGACAUGGGUGAAUCUUUAUGCUGAGUGAAAGAAGCCAAUCAGCUUUUUUGCAACAGGUUUGCCACCAGAACACAGGUGUCGUGAAAACUACCCCUAAAAGCCAAAAUGGGAAGAGACUUUUAUCAACAUUGUCUUCAUUGGACACAUAGAUUCAAGGCAAGUCCACCACUGCUGGCCAUCUGAUCUACAAAUGUGGUGGAAUUAACAAAAGAAUCAUUGAAAAAUUGGAAAAGGAGGCUGCUGAGAUGGGAAAGGGCUCCUUCAGGUAUUCCUGGGUCUUGGAUAAACUGAAAGCUGAGCAUGAACGUGAUCUCACUAUUGAUACCUCCCUGUAGAAAUUUGAGACCAACAAAUUCUGUCAUUGAUGCCCCCGGACACAGAGACUUCAUCGAAAACGUGAUUCCUGGGACGUCUCAGGCUGACUGUGCUGUACUGAUUAUUGCUGCUGGUGUUGGUGAAAUUGAAGCUGGUAUCUCCAAGAAUGGGCAGGCUGGUGACCAUGCCCUUCUGGCUUACACACUGGGUGUGAAACAACUAAUUGUUGGUGUUAACAAAAUGGAUUCCACGGAGCCACCUUAAAGCCAGAAGAGAGAUGAGGAAAUAAUUAAGGAAGUCAGCACUUAUAUUAAGAAAAUUGGCUACAAUCCUGACAUAGUAGCAUUUGUGCCAGUUGCUGGCUGGAAUUGUGACAGCAUGCUGGAGCCAAGUGCUAACAUGCCUUGGUUCAAAUGGAAAGUCACCCGUAAAGAUGGCAGUGCCAGUGGAACCAUACUUCUUGAGGGUCUGGACUGCAUCCUUCCACUAGCUUGUCCAACUGACGAGUCCUUGCGCCUGCCUCUCCAGGAUGUCUACAAAAUUGGUGGUAUUGGUACUGUGUCUAUGGGCCAAGUGGAGAUUGGUGUUCUCAAACCCAUUGUGGUGGUCACCUUUGCUCCAGUCAACAUUACAACUGAAGUCUGUUGAAAUGCACCAUGGAGCUUUGAGUGAAGCUCCUCUUGGAGACAUUAUGGGCUUCAGUGUUAAGAAUGUGUCAAUCCAAGAUGUUUGUUGUGGCAGUGUUGCUGCUGACAGCAAAAAUGACCCACGAAUGAAGGCAAUUGACCUUACUGCUCAGUCGAUUAUUCUGAACCAUCCAGGCUAAAUCAGUGUUGGCUAUGCCCUUGUACUGAAUUGCCACACAGCUCAGGUUGCAUGCAGGUUUACUGAGCUGGAGGUAAAGAUUGAUUGCCAUUCUGGUAAGAAGUUGGAAGAAGGCCCUAAAUUCUUGAAGUCUGGUGAUGCUGCCAUUGUUGAUAUGGUUCCUGGCAAACCCAUGUGUGUUGAGAGCUUCUCAGACCAUCCUCCUCUGAGUCGUUUUGCUGUUGGAGGUGUGAGACAGACAGUUGCUGUGGGUGUCAUCAAAGCAGUGGACAAGAAGGCUGUGGGAGCUGGCAAGGUCACCAGGUUUGCCCAGAAAUCUCAGAAGGCUAAAUGAGUAUUAUCCCUAAUUCCUGCCACUCUAGUCUUAAUCAGUGGUGGAAGAAUGGUCUCAGGACUGUUAGUUUCAAUUGGCCAUUUAAGUUUAAUUGUAAAAGACUGGUUAAAGAUAACAGUGCAUCUUAAAACCUUCAGAAGGAAAGGAGAAUGUUUUGUGAACUAAUUCAUUUUUGUUUCUUUCUUUUCUUUCUUUCUUUUUUUUUUUUUUUUUUUGCAUGUGGUUAAGUUACUAGUUUUUUAAAUCAGUACAUUUUAAUGGAAACAACUUGACUGAAAUUCUGUCACAGAAUUUUGAGACCCAUUAAAACAAAGUUCAGUGAGAAAAAAACAAGCCAGGUAAAAAACACAUAUAUAUGUAUGACCCAUUUAUAUGAAAAAUUUUUAAAUGCAGACUAAUUCAUAGUGACAGAAAGCUCAUCAGUGGUUUCCUGGAGACUUGGGAACAGAGAGCAGAGAGGGGUGGAAAGGAGGGAGGGGUUUAGAAGAGGCCUGUGCAGACUUUAGUAUGAUGUAUAUAGUCAUUAUAUUGAUUUGGGUAAUGGUUUCAAGGUUGUAUACCUGUGUCAGGAGUUGCCAAAGUUUUAAGUAUGUACAGCGUAUUACAUGUCAAUCAUAUCUUAAAUAAAAGAAAAAGUCACCAGGUUAGGUUUUCAUUCAGAGGAUAGAAAGAUUACUGAUACCAAUUUACAAAGCCUUUAAGACAGGUAAAGCAAGCUGAGCUCUUUAAGGAGCUGUCCAAUGGUUUUAUGAGUUUGCUAUGUGAUUAAAAUAACCCUGACCAGUAUUCAGGAAUAUUAGUAGUUUCUGAGUUAUUCAUCCCAUCAUUGUAUGAGUUAUUCAUCCCAUCAUUGUAUGACAACUAUUUUUUUCUUAUAGGCCUUUUUGAGCCAUAUAUGCAAUGUAAUGUUACAUAUCUUAUGUUCUGUUAUUAUUCAACAGAAACUUCUUGUCUUUCCAUCUAAUUUAAAAAAAGAAAAAGUUUAGGCCAGGUGCGGUGGCUCACGCCUGUAAUCCUAGCACUUUGGGAGGCCGAGGUGGGUGGAUCUCUUGAGCCCAGGAGUUCGAGACCAGCCCAGCCAACAUGGUGAAGCCCCGUCUCCACUAAAAACACAAAAAUUAGCCCGGCGCUGUGGUGGGCGCCUGUAAUCCCAGCUACUCUGGAGGCCGAGGCAGGAGAAUCGCUUGAACCUGGGGGGCAGAAGUUGCAGUGAGCCGAGAUCAUGCCACUACACUCCAGCCUGGGUGACAGAGUAAAACUCUGUCUCAAAAAAAAAAAUAAUUACAAUAACAUUUAAGUUAACGGUCAGGAUUCUUGAUUAAUAAUAUGUGGGUCUAGAUGGUAGCGGUAGGGAUCAUUUUCGAAAGUUGGGGGAUGAUGUCAUUUUGGAGAACUCCCUAUAUGAGAAGCACUUGGUUGUUUUUGACAUGAAAACUGGGGGGCAGGCCGGGCACAGUGGCUUACGCCUGUAAUCUCAGCACUUUGGGAGGCUGAGGUGGGCAGAUCACUUGGGGCCAGGAGUUUGAGACCAGCUUGGCCAACAUGAUGAAACACCGCCUCUACCAAAAAUACAAAAAUUAGCCAGGCUUGGUGACACACACCUGUAAUCCCAGCUACUAGGGUGACUGAGGCAGGAGAAUCACUUGAACCUGGGAGGUGGAGGUUGCAGUGAGCCAAGAUUGUGCCACUGCACUCCAGCCUGGUGACAGAGUGAGACUCCAUGUCAAAAAAAAAAAAAAAAGAAAAGAAAAUUGUGGGGUAAAUUUGAGUGUAUGAGAAUCUAAGACUAUUGAAUGAACAUUAAUUUUUUAAAAUGUCCACUUAGAACUAUUUAAAGUAUAAAUGUAAAUUAGGGUUUUAAUUAUGAAUAUAAAUGACUGCAUAUCUGUAUAUUUACAGAAACCAAAAAUUUAAUAUUAUAUCUAUGUCUUUAGGAAAGGAUUAUUCAAACAUAGGGCAGGGAUAGUAAAACUUUAAUGUUUUUAUUUCUAUUUUUCUUAUUUAUGCCAGACUCCUUAUUGUUGUUGAAGUUAGUCAAAUAAUUUAUAUAACUCAAGUCCUUAUGUCUUCUAAUCCUAGAUAAAACCUUUGCCUCCUAAACCUGAAAAAAAUAGUCUCUUUUUUGAACAGGUAUUUCAUUUUAAUGUGAUACUUGUUUUAGUUACCUGUUUAGCCUUAUCUUUCAAAAAAUUAUUCUUAACAUGUUAAAAAUAUAUAC
Macaca mulatta (Rhesus monkey) is the source of this 7029-nucleotide RNA transcript. It is a transcript of the gene named elongation factor 1-alpha 1 pseudogene, with no coding region annotated. Lineage: Eukaryota; Metazoa; Chordata; Mammalia; Primates; Cercopithecidae. The record is from RefSeq and is a predicted model, not a curated record.